RNAcentral lists this ribosomal RNA (500 nucleotides) under uncultured bacterium. Its description in RNAcentral is "bacterial SSU rRNA". It matches the Rfam family "Bacterial small subunit ribosomal RNA", at positions 899 to 1397 of the family's 1533-position model. The record is from RNAcentral.
ACUCAAAGGAAUUGACGGGGGCCCGCACAAGCAGCGGAGCAUGUGGUUUAAUUCGAAGCAACGCGAAGAACCUUACCAGGUCUUGACAUCCAUUUAAAGCCAUGGAAACAUGGUGUCUCGCAAGAGGAAAUGAGACAGGUGGUGCAUGGUUGUCGUCAGCUCGUGUCGUGAGAUGUUGGGUUAAGUCCCGCAACGAGCGCAACCCCUGCAUUCAGUUACCAGCGGUUAAAGCCGGGGACUCUGGAUGGACUGCCGUGGAGAACACGGAGGAAGGUGGGGACGAUGUCAAAUCAUCAUGCCCCUUACGACCUGGGCUACACACGUGCUACAAUGGCCGCGACAAAGAGAAGCAAAGGAGUAAAAGCCGGAGCGGAACUUAGAAAAGCGGUCCCAGUUCGGAUUGUGGGCUGCAACCCGCCCACAUGAAGCAGGAGUUGCUAGUAAUCGCGAAUCAUCAUGUCGCGGUGAAUGCGUUCCCGGGCCUUGUACACACCGCCCGU